AUUUUGCUUUAGCCAGUAGGCCCUCAGUGUCAAAUUCUCCAGAUUGGACGGUGAUGUUGAUGUCAUCAAUGAUCUUAACAAGGUCAACCAACAAACCUGGUCGGUCAGCUGUUUCCACUACAAGUAAGCUUCUGUCAGGGCCAUCAUCAUAUAUGUCUAUGUGGGUUGCUAUGUCCACAUCAACCAGUUCUGUAGGGGGCUCUGGACCAAAAGUUGCACCCAGAGCCAAUUGGCUGCUAGCUUCUGGGUGGUACUGAAUCAUGUUGUUUAUAAUUGUCAGCCGUACUGCUUCUAACAACUCUGGUUCACCAAUUUUGCGACCAGUCGACAAUUUUGUUAUAGCUAACUUAAUAUGCUUGCCAGUAGAAUCGAGGCAGACGCUAGCUUUCACAACAUUUAGCCCUAAAUUCUUCAGGGCAUUCA
RNAcentral lists this unclassified non-coding RNA (423 nucleotides) under Hevea brasiliensis (rubber tree). Lineage: Eukaryota; Viridiplantae; Streptophyta; Magnoliopsida; Malpighiales; Euphorbiaceae. The record is from RNAcentral.